This 427-nucleotide ribosomal RNA is filed under the name uncultured bacterium. RNAcentral describes it as "bacterial SSU rRNA". It matches the Rfam family "Bacterial small subunit ribosomal RNA", at positions 355 to 775 of the family's 1533-position model. The record is from RNAcentral.
UGGGGAAUCUUGCGCAAUGGGCGAAAGCCUGACGCAGCAACGCCGCGUGGAGGAAGAAGGCCUUCGGGUUGUAAACUCCUGUCAGGGGGGAAGAAGGCACCUGGGUUAAUAGCCCAAGGGCUGACGGUACCCCCAGAGGAAGCCACGGCUAACUACGUGCCAGCAGCCGCGGUAAUACGUAGGUGGCGAGCGUUGUCCGGAAUUAUUGGGCGUAAAGCGCGCGUAGGCGGCUUGUCAGGUCCGACGUGAAAUCCCGGGGCUCAACCCCGGACGUGCGUCGGAAACCGGCUUGCUUGAGUCUGGGAGAGGGAAGUGGAAUUCCUGGUGUAGCGGUGAAAUGCGCAGAUAUCAGGAGGAACACCGGUAGCGAAGGCUGCUUCCUGGAACAGUACUGACGCUGAGGCGCGAAAGCUAGGGGAGCGAACAG